CACUCAAUUGUUUCUUUAUGAGUUGCUUUACCUCGUUUAAGGUAGUACUAAGCUUACCUUAUAUGAAUUAUGCACACUAACCCAUUUCUUGUCUUGAACUAAAGCACUUUAUUUAACUAACUUACCAAAUGAUAGGAAAGACAGCAGGUUAAUACUCUUUCUAAUACUAGUAACUAGAUUGACCUAUGACCUACCUACCUACAGGCAGGAAGGCAAGGCAUUCUAAUUGGUUGGAGUCCUCUUCCACUUGGACUGGAUGAACCUACACCUUAGCAGUCCUCCGCUU
RNAcentral lists this long non-coding RNA (286 nucleotides) under Amborella trichopoda. Its description in RNAcentral is "long non-coding RNA (ATRI_LNC000686)". The record is from RNAcentral. Lineage: Eukaryota; Viridiplantae; Streptophyta; Magnoliopsida; Amborellales; Amborellaceae.